GAAGCAUGACCGUAAGGACAUGUGGACAGUAUUGGAGUGAGAAUGUUGGCAUGAGUUGCGAGAUGUGGGUGAGAAUCCCUCAGGCCGUAAACCCAAGGUUUCCAGGGGAAGGUUCGUCCGCCCUGGGGUAGUCGGGACCUAAGCUGAGGCCGAAAGGCGUAGGUGAUGGACAACAGGUUGAUAUUCCUGUACUACCGAUAACCGUUUG
Molecule: ribosomal RNA, 208 nt
Filed under: Clostridioides difficile
Lineage: Bacteria; Bacillati; Bacillota; Clostridia; Peptostreptococcales; Peptostreptococcaceae
Description: partial 23S ribosomal RNA
Rfam family: Bacterial large subunit ribosomal RNA
Source: RNAcentral